Long non-coding RNA from Musa acuminata AAA Group (dessert banana), 678 nucleotides. RefSeq lists it as uncharacterized. The record is from RefSeq and is a predicted model, not a curated record. The transcript is spliced from 3 exons. NCBI's taxonomy places the organism in Eukaryota, Viridiplantae, Streptophyta, Magnoliopsida, Zingiberales, Musaceae.
GGUUGUCAGAAGCCCGCGAGAAUUGAAAUCGAAACCGCAUCCGAAGGUUUCCGUAUUGCCUCCUCCUCUUCGUCUCUUCCCCUCUGGAUCGAGGAAAUGGAAGAAGUCCCAUCGACGAGGAUCGCCGCAGGAAAGGAAGGGACCGAACAAGCAGCUGGAGACACAGUGGUUCCGCCGAUGGGGGCGACGGAGACGAUUAAUCUUUCGGUGAAGAUGGCAAGGCUGACAUCGGAUGAGACGGAGAAAGGACAGACGGGCAAGAUCUUAAUUACGCUGUCGAUUUCCAAUUACGUUAGUAGGUAUCAAGACACAAACAUCAAAGGCACGAAGCCCCAUUGGGGGCGAAAGAAAUGUUUCAGCGCGAGCUUGAUAUCUCUUCGCUGGUUUAGGGAUAUCUGAAAUAACUCCAGAAACCUAUAAAAUCGUUUGAAUGAGGGGUGCGUCAUCCUAAAAACUUGGAAUAUCUGAUUGAGAAGGGUGGUUUACUUUCGGGAAGAAGGUUAAAGUUUUUCAUUUGCUGCCUAUUACUUUCCUUGGUCCUGUAAUUUUGGCAACUUGAUUUGUUAGGACAUUUUAUAAAUUUUAAAUUAUAUGGUUUAAUAAAAUAAAUAGAAGGUUUUCGCUUUCUAAAGUGUAAGUUCAAAUUUAUAGUUACUAAACUAUCUUAUUAUUCUUUUC